UAGUAUUGAUUAUUUUAUGUUAACUUAGUUUUCUCCACUGUGCAGCAGUGAUAUGUGUUUUAGGUUGUCAGACUGUCUAAUUAUAGUAACAACAUGUUCAAUAUUGGUUGCAAAAGUAUUUCAUACUUGCAAAACAAAUAGCUAUUGCAACACACCUGGAAAAUUUCAUAAUUUUAUAAAUGAGAAAGGAUUAAUACACUGACAGCUUUUGCUUAAUACUGGAUUCUUUCUUUAUUAUUUUUGAUACGUCACUAAUAUAUUGGAAAAAUGAUAAUUUUUUAUUGAGAAAAUGAAUUAUACUUAAACUAAAUUAUUGGUGACCCCCCACUCAGUUUCCUUUCUGUUUUCCUGUUGAUUUGUAGAAAUUGAUAUUUGGCUGAUCUGUGAAGUAUUAUUGUAUGUCACACAUUAAUUUCUUGUCUGGUAGAUUCGUAUUUUGCACAAUAUGAUCUUUACCUUUACAUGGCAGAGUUUCAUUGCAAUUAUUCAUCAUAUGGUGUAAAAUUAGCGCUUAACUUAAUAUAGAUAUUAAAUCAUUUUAUAAUCAGAUUACAAGGCACGUUAUAAUCCAAGAAUGAUUUUCAUUUCAAUUAAGGUAUACUGAGGCAGGCAAUAUUUCAAUUAUAGUCUGAAAGUAUCGUUAAAAUCGAUAAGUAUAAUUAUUUUUCCUGUCAAUAUGAUGCAUACAUUUUCAAUAUUAAUGCAUUCAGUUCUUGUAUGUUGAUAAAUCUCUGACACAGGUGGAACAUUUGCUAUAUUUAGAAUAAAAGAAACUCAAUACUUGGAAAAGUAAACGAUUACAACAACAAAACUCAGGCAUUACCCACAUAAAUAGGUCGCGGAUGCCAUUUGAUUAUCUAGUAACAAAGGAUUCAAGACAACACACUGCAGGGUGUCUUUUUAUUUAAUCCUCAUCAUAAUUUUGAUGAAAAUAAGUCAUGAGGUGUGAAUUGAUUUUGAAAGAAAAAGGGAUAGAAGUGGUGGUUAUCUGAUGAAGUUUGGAUGUAAUAAUUCAUGAGAUGAUUAAAAAGUAACACAUGUAUGAAACAUAAGAAUAAGACGAAUAAGAGUACAAAUUCAGAUGGUUAUCAUGUUGACUGCUUGCCUGGUAAUUAUUGUGCAGUAUCAACCCUGUCAAUACCACCAGGUAAAGGUUGAGUUUUAUAAUGAUCAGAUAAGUUAAAAAAAAACACAAAGAGGCAAUACACCGCUGUAUUGAAUGGUAUAUACUGUGUACAAAAAUAUUUUGUUAGCCGACAUGAAGCAUGUACACAUUCUAUCGUUGUUUCCUGGAUGAAUAGCUGCAAAGACUAAAGCACAAAACUCAGGUGGUUGUCGCAUAUUGCCUACUUGCCUGGUAGCUGGUGCGAUAUCAACCCUGUGUCACCGCCUGAUGAAAUUUGUUGUAAUUAAUCAUCAGGUGAUGGAAAAGGAACAUGCAAACAUUGUUUGUUAUAUUAAAAAAAAAAUGAAUGAAAAAGGAAGAGAAAAAAUAUUAGAAAUGAAAUGUGAUAUAACUUGAAUAAGUACAUGUUGUUCCUUCUUUAGGAUAAGUAAGUAAGGUAGGAGAAAUAGAAGAAAAAUACUUGCGAGUAUAACAGAAUUGAAUAAACAAGUGAACUCAAAAAGCACAAAAUACAGUUGUACAAUGUAGAAGAAAAUGAAUUCUAACUUGUGAAUAUUAUUAAUGAAAGGAAAAGCACAAAACUCAGGUGGUUGUCACAUAUUGUCUUCUUGCCUGGUAGCUGGUGGGAUAUAAACCCUGUGUCACCGCCUGAUGAAAUUUGUUGUAAUUAAUCAUCAUGCGAUGGAAAAGGAACAUGCAAACUUCAUUUAUUAUAUUAGAAAAAAUGAAUGAAAAAGGAGAAAAAAUAUCAGAAAUGAAAUGUUACACAACUUGAAUAAGUACAUGUUCCAACUUUGGAUUAAGUUUCUGUAAGUUAGGAGAAAUAGAAGAAAAUUACUUGCGAGUAUGAAAGAAUUUAAUUGGCAAGUGAACUCAAAAAGCACAAAAUUCGGUUGUACAAUGUAGAAGAAAAUUAAUACUAAAUUGUGAAUAUUAUUAAUGAAAAAAAAAAGCUCAAAACUCAGGUGGUUGUCGCAUAUUAUUGCCUUUUUGCCUGGUAGCUGGUGCGAUAUCAACCCUGUGUCACCGCCUGAUGAAAUUUGGAUGAAAUGAUUUAUCAGAUAAUGUAAAAGGAACACAUGUACUAAACAGAAUAAAGAUGAAUAGAGUACAAAAUUAGGAUGUCGACUACUUGUCUGGAGGCCGAUGCAUUAUAAACCCUUUAACAAAUUAACGUCAGGUAAAUGUUGAUCUUUAUAAUUAUCAGAUAACCGAAAAAACGAAAAGACAAAAUACCACUGGAUUGAAUGGUAUGUACUAGUACUGAGUACAGAAAUGUUUUGUUAGUCGAUAUAAAGCAUGUACACACUCUAUCGUUGUAUCCUGGAUGAAUAGCUUCAAAGACUAAAGCACAAAACUCAGGUGGUUGUCACAUAUUGCCUACUUGCCUGGUAGCUGGUGCGAUAUCAACCCUGUGUCAUCGCCUGAUGAAAUUUGGAUAUAAUUAAUUAUCAGGUGAUGGAAAAGGAACAUGCAAAUGACGUUUGUUAUAUGAGAAAAAUAAAAUGAAUGAAAAAGGGAAAAAAAUAUCAGAAAUGAAAUGUUAUAUAGCUUGAAUACGUACAUGUUCCUUCUUUGGGAAAGUUUCUGUAAGGUAGGAGAAAUAGAAGAAAAUCACAUGCGAGUAUAAAAGAAUUGAAUUAACAAGUGAACUCAAAAAACACAAAAUUCGGUUGUACAAUGUAGAAAAAAUUAUUAAUGAAAGCAAAAAGAACAAAACUCAGGUGGUUGUCGCAUAUUGCCUACUUGCCUGGUAGCUGGUGCUAUAUAAACCCUGUGUCAUCGCCUGAUGAAAUUUGUUGUAAUUAAUCAUCAGGUGAUGGAAAAGUAACAUGCAAACAUUGUUAUAUUAGAAAAAAAUGAAUGAAAAAGGAAGAGAAAAAUAUCAGAAAUGAAAUGUUAUAUAACUUGAAUAAGUACAUGUUGUUCCUUCUUUAGGAUAAGUUUCUGUAAUGUAGGAGAAAUAGAAGAAAAAUACUUGCGAGUAUAACAGAAUUGAAUUAACAAGUGAACUCAAAAAGCACAAAAUACAGUUGUACAGUGUAAAAGAAAAUGAAUUCAAACUUGUGAAUAUUAUUAAUGAAAGGAAAAAGCACAAAACUCAGGUGGUUGUCGCAUAUUGCCUACUUGCCUGGUAGCUGGUGCGAUAUCAACCCUGUGUCAUCGCCUGAUGAAAGUUGUUGUAAUUAAUCAUCAGGUGUUGGAAAAGGAACAUGCAAACAUUGUUUGUUAUAUUAGAAAAAAAUGAAUGAAAAUGGAAGAGAAAAAAUAUCAGAAAUGAAAUGUUAUAUUAACUUGAAUAAGUACAUGUUGUUCCUUCUUUAGGAUAAGUAAGUAAGGUAGGAGAAAUAGAAGAAAAAUACUUGCGAGUAUAACAGAAUUGAAUAAACAAGUGAACUCAAAAAGCACAAAAUACAGUUGUACAAUGUAAAAGAAAAUGAAUUCAAACUUGUGAAUAUUAUUAAUGAAAGGAAAAAGCACAAAACUCAGGUGGUUGUCGCAUAUUGCCUACUUGCCUGGUAGCUGGUGCGAUAUCAACCCUGUGUCAUCGCCUGAUGAAAUUUGGAUGUAAAUAAUUAUCAGGUGAUUGAAAAGGAACAUGCAAACAUUGUUUGUUAUACGAGAAAAAUAAAAAGAAUGAAAAAGGAAGGGAAAAAAUAUCAGAAAUGAAAUGUUAUAUAGCUUGAAUACGUACAUGUUCCUUCUUUGGGAAAGUUUCUGUAAGGUAGGAGAAAUAGAAGAAAAUCACAUGCGAGUAUAAAAGAAUUGAAUUAACAAGUGAACUCAAAAAACACAAAAUUCGGUUGUACAAUGUAGAAAGAAAUUAUUAAUGAAAGGAAAAAGCACAAAACUCAGGUGGUUGUCGCAUAUUGCCUACUUGCCUGGUAGCUGGUGCGAUAUCAACCCUGUGUCAUCGCCUGAUGAAACUUGUUGUAAUUAAUCAUCAGGUGUUGGAAAAGGAACAUGCAAACAUUGUUUGUUAUAUUAAAAAAAAUGAAUGAAAAAGGAAGAGAAAAAAUAUCAGAAAUGAAAUGUUAUAUAACUUGAAUAAGUACAUGUUGUUCCUUCUUUAGGAUAAGUAAGUAAGGUAGGAGAAAUAGAAGAAAAAUACUUGCGAGUAUAACAGAAUUGAAUAAACAAGUGAACUCAAAAAGCACAAAAUACAGUUGUACAAUGUAGAAGAAAAUGAAUUCUAACUUGUGAAUAUUAUUAAUGAAAGGAAAAGCACAAAACUCAGGUGGUUGUCGCAUAUUGCCUACUUGCCUGGUAGCUGGUGCGAUAUCAACCCUGUGUCAUCGACUGAUGAAAUUUGGAUGUAAUAAUUCAUCAGAUGAUGUAAAAGAAACACGCGUAUUAAGAUAAGAAUAAAGACGAAUAACAGUGCAAAAUUCAGAUGGUAAUCAUGUUGACUAUAAACUAUAAGCCCUGUAACAACGUCAGGUAAAUGUUGACCUUUAUAAUUAUAAGAUAACUGAAAAAAAACGAAAAGACAAAAUAUCACUGGAAUGAAUGGUAUAUACUGAGUAGAGAAAUAUUUUGUUAGCUGAUAUGAAGCAUGUACACACUAUCGUUUUAUCCUGGAUGAAUAGUUGCAAAUACUAAAGCACAAAACUCAGGUGGUUGUCGCAUAUUGUCUUCUUGCCUGGUAGCUGGUGCGAUAUAAACCCUGUGUCAUCGCCUGAUGAAAUUUGUUGUAAUUAAUCAUCAUGCAAUGGAAAAGGAACAUCCAAACUUCGUUUGUUAUAUUAGAAAAAAAAAUAAAUGAAAAAGGAGCAAAAAAGUUAGAAAUGAAAUGUUAAACAAAUUGAAUAAGUACGUGUUGUUCCUACUUUGGGUUAAGUUUCUGUAAGGUAGGAGAAAUAGAAAGAACUUACUUGUGAGUAUAACAAAUUUGAAUUAACAAGUAGUGCAUUCGAACAGCACAAAAUUCGGUUGUACAAUGUAGAAGAAAAUGAAUACAAAAUUGUGAAUAUUAUUAAUGAAAACAAAAAGCACAAAACUCAGGUGGUUGUCGCAUAUUGCCUAUUUGCCUGGUAGCUGGUGCGAUAUAAAUCCUGUGUCACCGCCUGAUGAAAUUUGGAUGAAAUUAUUCAUCAGAUGAUGUAAAAGGAACACAUGUACUAAACAAAAUAAAGAUGAAUGGAGUACAAAAUUUUGAUGGUUAUCAUGUCGACUACUUGUCUGGAGGCUGAUGUAUUAUAAACCCUGUAACAACGUCAGGUAAAUGUUGAUCUUGAUAAUUAUCAGAUAACCGAAAAAACGAAAAGACAAAAUACCACUGGAUUGAAAGGUAUAUACAAAUUGUACUGAGUACAGAAAUAUUGUGUUAACCGACAUAAAGCAUGUACACACUCUAUCCUUGCAUUCCGGAUGAAUAGCUGCAAAGACUAAAGCACAAAACUCAGGUGGUUGUCACAUAUUGCCUACUUGCCUGGUAGCUGGUGCGAUAUCAACCCUGUGUCACCGCCUGAUGAAAUUUGUUGUAAUUAAUCAUCAGGUGAUGGAAAAGGAACAUGCAAACAUUGUUUGUUAUAUUAGAAAAAAAUGAAUGAAAAAGGAAGAGAAAAAAUAUCAGAAAUGAAAUGUUAUAUAACUUGAAUAAGUACAUGUUGUUCCUUCUUUAGGAUAAGUAAGUAAGGUAGGAGAAAUAGAAGAAAAAUACUUGCGAGUAUAACAGAAUUGAAUAAACAAGUGAACUCAAAAAGCACAAAAUACAGUUGUACAAUGUAGAAGAAAAUGAAUUCUAACUUGUGAAUAUUAUUAAUGAAAGGAAAAGCACAAAACUCAGGUGGUUGUCGCAUAUUGCCUACUUGCCUGGUAGCUGGUGCGAUAUCAACCCUGUGUCAUCGACUGAUGAAAUUUGGAUGUAAUAAUUCAUCAGAUGAUGUAAAAGAAACACGCGUAUUAAGAUAAGAAUAAAGACGAAUAACAGUGCAAAAUUCAGAUGGUAAUCAUGUUGACUAUAAACUAUAAGCCCUGUAACAACGUCAGGUAAAUGUUGACCUUUAUAAUUAUAAGAUAACUGAAAAAAACGAAAAGACAAAAUAUCACUGGCAUGAAUGGUAUAUACUGAGUAGAGAAAUAUUUUGUUAGCUGAUAUGAAGCAUGUACACACUAUCGUUUUAUCCUGGAUGAAUAGUUGCAAAUACUAAAGCACAAAACUCAGGUGGUUGUCACAUAUUGUCUUCUUGCCUGGUAGCUGGUGCGAUAUAAACCCUGUGCCAUCGCCUGGUGAAGUUCGCAAUUUAUCAUCAGGUGAUGGAAAAGGAACAUCCAAACUUCGUUUGUUAUAUUAGAAAAAAAAAUUAAUGAAAAAGGAGAAAAAAAGUUAGAAAUGAAAUGUUACAAAAAUUGAAUAAGUACAUGUUGUUCCUACUUUGGGUUAAGUUUCUGUAAGGUAGGAGAAAUAGAAAGAACUUACUUGUGAGUAUAACAAAUUUGAAUUAACCAGUGCAUUCGAACAGCACAAAAUUCGGUUGUACAAUGUAGAAGGAAAUUAUUAAUGAAAAGAAAAAGCACAAAACUCAGGUGGUUGUCGCAUAUUGCCUAUUUGCCUGGUAGCUGGUGCGAUAUCAACCCUGUGUCACCGCCUGAUGAAAUUUGGAUGAAAUUAUUCAUCAGAUGAUAUAAAAGGAACACAUGUACUAAACAAAAUAAAGAUGAAUGGAGUACAAUAUUUUGAUGGUUAUCAUGUCGACUACUUGUCUGGAGGCUGAUGUAUUAUAAACCCUGUAACAACGUCAGGUAAAAUCAAUGUUGAUCUUGAUAAUUUUCAGAUAACCGAAAAAACGAAAAGACAAAAAUACCACUGGAUUGAAAGGUAUAUACUGAGUAAAGAAAUAUUGUGUUAACCGACAUAAAGCAUGUACACACUCUAUCCUUGCAUUCCGGAUGAAUAGCUGCAAAGACUAAAGAACAAAACUCAGGUGGUUGUCACAUAUUGCCUACUUGGCUGGUAGCUGGUGCGAUAUUAACCCUGUGUCAUCGCCUGAUGAAAGUUGUUGUAAUUAAUCAUCAGGUGAUGGAAAAGGAACAUGCAAACAUUGUUUGUUAUAUUAGAAAAAAAUGAAUAAAAAAGGAAGAGAAAAAAUAUCAGAAAUGAAAUGUUAUAUAACUUGAAUAAGUACAUGUUGUUCAUUCUUUAGGAUAAGUUUCUGUAAGGUAGGAGAAAUAGAACAAAAUUACUUGCGAGUAUGAACAAAUUAAGAAGUGAACUCAAAAAGUACAAAAAUGGUUGUAAACUGUAGAAGAAAUAAAUUAUAACUUGUGAAUUUUAUUAAUGAAAUUAAAUAAAAAGCACAAAACUCAGGUGGUUGUCACAUAUUGCCUACUUGCCUGGUAGCUGGUGCGAUAUAAACCCUGUGUCAUCGCCUGAUGAAUUUUGGUUGUAAUAAUUCAUUAGAUGAUGUAAAAGGAACACGUGUAUUCAGAUAAGAAUAAAGAUGAAUAGAGUAUAAAAUGUGGAUGGGUAUCAUGCCUACUACAUUUCUUGAAGCUGGUGCAGCAUAACCCUGUAAAAACGCCAGUUAAAUGUUAACCUUUAUAAUCAUCAGAUAACUGAAAAAGGAGCAAAAUACACAAGAUAGAAUGAUAUAUACUGAGUACAGAAAUAUUUUGUUAGCCGAAAUGAAGCAUGUACACAUUCUAUCGUUGUAUCCUGGAUGAAAAGCUGCAAAGACUAAAGCACAAAACUCAGGUGGUUGUCGCAUAUUGCCUACUUGCCUGGUAGCUGGUGCGAUAUCAACCCUGUGUCAUCGCCUGAUGAAAUUUGGAUGUAAUUAAUUAUCAGGUGAUUGAAAAGGAACAUGCAAAUGACGUUUGUUAUAUGAGAAAAAUAAAAUGAAUGAAAAAGGAAGGGAAAAAAUAUCAGAAAUGAAAUGUUAUAUACAUGUAGCUUGAAUACGUACAUGUUCCUUCUUUGGGAAAAUUUCCGUAAGGUGGGAGAAAUAGAAGAAAAUCACAUGCGAGUAUAAAAGAAUUGCAUUAACAAGUGAACUCAAAAAGCACAAAAUUCGGUUGUACAAUGUAGAAGGAAAUUAUUCAUGAAAGGAAAAAGCACAAAACUCAGGUGGUUGUCGCAUAUUGCCUACUUGCCUGGUAGCUGGUGCUAUAUAAACCCUGUGUCAUCGCCUGAUGAAAGUUGUUGUAAUUAAUUAUCAGGUGAUGGAAAAGGAACAUGCAAACAUUGUUUGUUAUAUUAGAAAAAAAUGAAUGAAAAAGGAAGAGAAAAAAUAUUAGAAAUGAAAUGUUAUAUAACUUGAAUAAGUACAUGUUGUUCCUUCUUUAGAAUAAGUUUCUGUAAGGUAGGAGAAAUAGAACUCAAAAAGUACAAAAUUUGGUUGUACAAUGUAGAAGAAAAUGACUUCUAACUGAUGGAUAUUAUUAAUGAAAAUAAAAAGCACAAAACUCAGGCGGUUGUCACAUAUAACCUACUUGCCUGGUAGCUGGUGCGAUAUCAACCCUGUGUCACCGCCUGAUGAAUUUUGGUUGUAAUAAUUCAUCAGAUGAUGUAAAAGGAACACGUGUAUUCAGAUAAGAAUAAAGAUGAAUAGAGUACAGAAUGUGGAUGGGUAUCAUGCCUACUACUUGUCUUGAAGCUGGUGCAGCAUAACCCUGUAAAAACAUCAGGUAAAUGUUAACCUUUAUAAUCAUCAGAUAACUGAAAAAAGGAGCAAAAUACACAAGAUAGAAUGAUAUACUGAGUACAGAAAUAUUUCGUUAGCCGAAAUAAAGCAUGUACACAUUCUAUCGUUGUAUCCUGGAUGAAUAGCUGCAAAGACUAAAGCACAAAACUCAGGUGGUUGUCGCAUAUUGCCUACUUGCCUGGUAGCUGGUGCGAUAUCAACCCUGUGUCAUCGCCUGAUGAAAUUUGUUGUAAUUAAUCAUCAGGUGAUGGAAAAGGAACAUGCAAACAUUGUUUGUUAUAUUAGAAAAAAAUGAAUGAAAAAGGAAGAGAAAAAAUAUCAGAAAUGAAAUGUUAUAUAACUUGAAUAAGUACAUGUUGUUCCUCAUUUAGGAUAAGUAAGUAAGGUAGGAGAAAUAGAAGAAAAAUACUUGUGAGUAUAACAGAAUUGAAUAAACAAGUGAACUCAAAAAGCACAAAAUACAGUUGUACAAUGUAGAGGAAAAUGAAUUCAAACUUGUGAAUAUUAUUAAUGAAAGGAAAAAGCACAAAACUCAGGUGGUUGUCGCAUAUUGCCUACUUGCCUGGUAGCUGGUGCGAUAUAAACCCUGUGUCAUCGACUGAUGAAAUUUGGUUGUAAUAAUUCAUCAGAUGAUGUAAAAGGAACACGUGUAUUCAGAUAAGAAUAAAGAUGAAUAGAGUACAAAAUGUGGAUGGGUAUCAUGCCUACUACUUGUCUUGAAGCUGGUGCAGCAUAACCCUGUAAAAACGUCAGGUAAAUGUUAACCUUUAUAAUCAUCAGAUAACUGAAAAAAGGAGCAAAAUACACAGGAUAGAAUGAUAUAUACUGAGUACAGAAAUAUUUUGUUAGCCGAAAUAAAGCAUGUACACAUUCUAUCGUUGUAUCCUGGAUGAAUAGCUGCAAAGACUAAAGCACAAAACUCAGGUGGUUAUCGCAUAUUGCCUACUUGCCUGGUAGCUGGUGCGAUAUCAACCCUGUGUCAUCGCCUGAUGAAAGUUGUUUUAAUUAAUCAUGUGUUGGAAAAGGAACAUGCAAACAUUGUUUGUUAUAUGAGAAAAAUAAAAUGAAUGAAAAAGGGAAAAAAUAUCAGAAAUGGAAUGUUACAUAGCUUGAAUACGUACAUGUUCCUUCUUUGGGAAAGUUUCUGUAAUGUAGGAGAAAUAGAAGAAAAUCACAUGCGAGUAUAAAUGAAUUGAAUUAUUCGGUUGUACAAUGUAGAAGGAAAUUAUUAAUGAAAGGAAAAAGCACAAAACUCAGGUGGUUGUCGCAUAUUGCCUACUUGCCUGGUAGCUGGUGCGAUAUCAACCCUGUGUCAUCGCCUGAUGAAAGUUGUUGUAAUUGAUCAUCAGGUGUUGGAAAAGGAACAUGCAAACAUUGUUUGUUAUAUUAGAAAAAAAUGAAUGAAAAAGGAAGAGAAAAAUUUCAGAAAUGAAAUGUUAUAUAACUUGAAUAAGUACAUGUUGUUCAUUCUUUAGGAUAAGUAAGUAAGGUAGGAGAAAUAGAAGAAAAUCACAUGCGAGUAUAAAAGAAUUGAAUUAACAAGUGAACUCAAAAAGCACAAAAUACAGUUGUACAAUGUAGAAGAAAAUGAAUUCAAACUUGUGAAUAUUAUUAAUGAAAGGAAAAAGCACAAAACUCAGGUGGUUGUCGCAUAUUGCCUACUUGCCUGGUAGCUGGUGCGAUAUCAACCCUGUGUCAUCGCCUGAUGAAAGUUGUUGUAAUGAAUCAUCAGGUGUUGGAAAAGGAACAUGCAAACAUUGUUUGUUAUAUUAGAAAAAAAUGAAUGAAAAAGGAAGAGAAAAACUAUCAGAAAUGAAAUGAUAUAUAACUUGAAUAAGUACAUGUUGUUCAUUCUUUAGGAUAAGUAAGUAAGGUAGGAGAAAUAGAAGAAACAUACUUGCGAGUAUAACAGAAUUGAAUAAACAAGUGAACUCAAAAAGCACAAAAUACAGUUGUACAAUGUAGAAGAAAAUGAAUUCUAACUUGUGAAUAUUAUUAAUGAAAGGAAAAAGCACAAAACUCAGGUGGUUGUCGCAUAUUGCCUACUUGCCUGGUAGCUGGUGCGAUAUCAACCCUGUGUCAUCGCCUGAUGAAAUUUGGAUGUAAUAAUUCAUCAGAUGAUGUAAAAGGAACACACGUAUUAAGAUAAGAAUAAAGACGAAUAACAGUGCAAAAUUGAGAUGGUAAUCAUGUCCACUAUAAACUAUAAACCCUGUAACACCGUCAGGUAAAUGUUGACCUUAAUAAUUAUCAGUUAA
Molecule: long non-coding RNA, 11030 nt
Organism: Pecten maximus
Lineage: Eukaryota; Metazoa; Mollusca; Bivalvia; Pectinida; Pectinidae
Exons: 4
Source: RefSeq, a predicted model, not a curated record